Molecule: ribosomal RNA, 436 nt
Filed under: uncultured Oscillospiraceae bacterium
Lineage: Bacteria; Bacillati; Bacillota; Clostridia; Eubacteriales; Oscillospiraceae
Description: bacterial SSU rRNA
Rfam family: Bacterial small subunit ribosomal RNA
Source: RNAcentral
ACGGGAGGCAGCAGUGGGGAAUAUUGCACAAUGGGGGAAACCCUGAUGCAGCAACGCCGCGUGAAGGAUGAAGGUCUUCGGAUCGUAAACUUCUGUCCUUGGGGACGAAUAAAUGACGGUACCCUUGGAGGAAGCUCCGGCUAACUACGUGCCAGCAGCCGCGGUAAUACGUAGGGAGCAAGCGUUAUCCGGAUUUACUGGGUGUAAAGGGCGUGUAGGCGGGACAUCAAGUCAGAUGUGAAAGCACGAGGCUCAACUUCGUGUCUGCAUUUGAAACUGACGUUCUUGAGUGUUGGAGAGGCUAACGGAACUCCUAGUGUAGCGGUGAAAUGCGUAGAUAUUAGGGAGAACACCAGUGGCGAAGGCGGUUAGCUGGACAAUAACUGACGCUGAGGCGCGAAAGCGUGGGUAGCAAACAGGAUUAGAUACCCUGGUA